RNAcentral lists this ribosomal RNA (320 nucleotides) under Odontotermes gurdaspurensis. RNAcentral's name for it is "partial 12S ribosomal RNA". Lineage: Eukaryota; Metazoa; Arthropoda; Insecta; Blattodea; Termitidae. The record is from RNAcentral.
AACUUAAAGAAUUUGGCGGUAUCCUACUCCGUUCAGAGGAAUCUGUCUCGUUAUCGAUAGUCCGCGUUGGACCUUGCUUAGGGUUAAUUUUGGUUUGUAUACCGCCGUUUAUUGAUUAUCUUUUUAGAGUAUCUUGAAUUUUCUGGUUUCUUUAAUUUGAUUUAUUGCAGGUCAAGGUGCAGCUUUUUCUAAGUGUAAUGAUGGAUUACAGUGGUAUGUGUUGUUUGGAUUGUUUGUUUAAAUAUGGGCAUGAAAUUGGAUUUGGUUGUAAUGUUUUGUAGAUUGUUUUCAUGAUAGUUGGUUCUAGGAUAUGUACACAU